Molecule: long non-coding RNA, 2012 nt
Organism: Papaver somniferum (opium poppy)
Lineage: Eukaryota; Viridiplantae; Streptophyta; Magnoliopsida; Ranunculales; Papaveraceae
Exons: 8
Source: RefSeq, a predicted model, not a curated record
UCAUCUGAUAACAAACAUGACCUCUCUCGUUCUCUUCUCUUUUAGAAAAAAAGUUCUCUCAUUAUAAGAAAUCAGAACUUUGUAAAUCUAAUCAACCCUUUUCGAGUAAUAAGCCCUAAUUUCUUAGACCCUAGAAAAUUACUCUGAUUUUCUACACGUUGGAGACUCAAGAAGAAGAUUCAGAGACGUGACUGCUCAAGCUCUGGUACUGCAAAAAGUUCUUUGAUUGCUUAUACUGUUUGUCAAACCGUCGAUACUUCUACUCGAGAGCAAGUUCUGAAAAACUCAAACCUUUCUUUUAAUUUAAUUUUGUAAUUUCAAUAUGGGUUUUUGUAUGGGGUCCAAGUAUGAUUUAGGGGAUUAUGGUGUGGGGUUGUUUUGAUCUCCGGUAACGGUUGAUGCUGGUAUUAUGGCUUUGCCUGCUACUAUGAAGGUUCUUGGACUUGUCCCAGGGAUAUACUAAUGAUAAUAUUCAUCGCGUUUUUUUAAUGAUAUUAUGAGUUUUUGAUCGAGAUAUUUCUGAGGUUUAGUAAAGCACGGGAAAUAGUUUCUUACAGAGAGCUUAUGGGAGACACAUUUGGAAAGUAUGUGAGGAUUGCAUUGCAGGCUUGUGUAUUUAGCAAUAGCCAUCACCGAGAUCUUUUGAGGAAUUAGGAGGCUGCCAAAGAAGUUAGAUAAGCUGGUCGGUUAGCUGUUCACAAUGUUGGAGUGCUUAUCGUGUACAUGAUUAUCAUCGGUGAUAUAAUUUCUGGAACAUCUGCAAGUGGAACACAUCACUCUGGAUGGUUCGGUGUGCAUUGGUGGAAUGGGCGGUUCUUUGUGUUGCUUUUCACCACACUUGGUGUAUUUUCCCCACUAGCAUUCAUUAAGCGUGUGUAAGCGGGAAGCAACCUUUUUGCUUUAGCUUGUCUUUCAGAACCUUUGCUCGAAGUCCAGGAUUCCGUGUCAAACAGAUUAGGUUUACAAAGUAUCUUGGUUCAAAUACUCACUAGAGAUAUGGGAACAGGUGCUGUUAGGUAGAGUAAUUUAGUGUGUGAAUGUUGUUUUUGGUUAAACUGUGUGGUUUCAUUUUCUUUUUAUUUGUAGGAGUACAUGAAAUAUGAAAAGUUUCAUGCAUGCGCAUUUUCAGCUUCUGCUAAGUUCUCUUCUAGGCUAAAUAUGAAAUGUUUCUUCUUUUUUCUGUUUUGUUUGUGUCUCCUGAGUAUUUUUACUUGUCCUGACUAGCUCAUUGCAUAUAAGUUUUCUCAGUACUUGUUUAGAGUUGGGGGAUAUCUGUAGAGAAGUUGGUCUACCUUCUGGUGUACUCAACAUUGUAACUGAAUUAAGUCCUGAAGCUGAUGCUCGCUUAACAUCUUAUCCUCAUGUUGACAAGCUCUUAACAGUGCAGAGCAAUGGAUUAGGAGCAUAGAAGUAAAGCUUGAGUCUGCUACUGGUCUUUUCCAAUCAGAAAAAGAAGCAUGGAAAAGAGACCUUGAGGAUGUUUAAGAAACCUGGCGAUGUGACCUUCUCAAGCUAUUAUGUUGCUUAUGUUCUUUGUAGCUUAUUUCUUAAAUCAAGCUUGGAAAAAACAAAUACUGACUCAUUGCAUAAUAUCUUGAAGUGAGGUGUAAGGCAUUAGAAACUCAAAGCGAGGUAUUUCAGGCCAUAUCUGGAGAAGGAGUUUGAAGAGCUCAAGUUACAAUAUAAAAAAAAAUUGAAGCUUUCAAAGGCGUGAUGCGCAACAUGCGUCAAUUUCAAGCAAAAAUGCAGCAGAGCAGCAGAUUCUGUGGAGAUUAGAAAAUAAAUGGUGGUCUCGCAAUCUUGGUGCUGGAGAUUGGCAGGUAGUGAGUGACGAAUCUCCUCGGCAAAGUCCAAGGGUUCUUCUCUGUGUUUAUCAUUUUAUUGUAUCUAAAAAACAAAGAACAUACUUGUCAUUCUUUUGACACUACAUACAUAAUUUGUAUGUCCUUAGAUGACAUGUUAUCUAUAUUAUUUAUUCAACAUAUGAGGUGUAUAACUUCAACUUAUCUGGU